Molecule: ribosomal RNA, 373 nt
Filed under: uncultured organism
Description: bacterial SSU rRNA
Rfam family: Bacterial small subunit ribosomal RNA
Source: RNAcentral
CGGAGGGUGCGAGCGUUGUCCGGAAUCACUGGGCGUAAAGGGCGCGUAGGUGGCCCGGUAAGUAGGGGGUGAAAUCUUGCGGCUCAACCGCAAGGCUGCCUUCUAAACUGCCAGGCUUGAGCACAGUAGAGGCAGGUGGAAUUCCCGGUGUAGCGGUGGAAUGCGUAGAGAUCGGGAAGAACAUCGGUGGCGAAGGCGGCCUGCUGGGCUGUUGCUGACACUGAGGCGCGACAGCGUGGGGAGCAAACAGGAUUAGAUACCCUGGUAGUCCACGCCGUAAACGAUGGGCACUAGGCGUCGGGGGGAGCGACCCUCCCGGUGCCGUCGCUAACGCAGUAAGUGCCCCGCCCUGGGGAGUACGGCCGCAAGGCUG